This 386-nucleotide ribosomal RNA is filed under the name uncultured prokaryote. RNAcentral's name for it is "bacterial SSU rRNA". It matches the Rfam family "Archaeal small subunit ribosomal RNA", at positions 339 to 725 of the family's 1478-position model. The record is from RNAcentral.
GCGCGAAACCUCCGCAAUGCGAGCAAUCGCGACGGGGGAAACCCAAGUGCCACUCUUAACGGGGUGGCUUUUCUGAAGUGUAAAAAGCUUCAGGAAUAAGAGCUGGGCAAGACCGGUGCCAGCCGCCGCGGUAACACCGGCAGCUCAAGUGGUGGCCAUUUUUAUUGGGCCUAAAACGUUCGUAGCCGGCUUGAUAAGUCUCUGGUGAAAUCCCACAGCUUAACUGUGGGAAUUGCUGGAGAUACUAUCAGGCUUGAGGCCGGGAGAGGCUGGAGGUACUCCCAGGGUAGGGGUGAAAUCCUAUAAUCCUGGGAGGACCACCUGUGGCGAAGGCGUCCAGCUGGAACGGACCUGACGGUGAGACGCGAAAGCGUGGGGAGCAAACA